Non-coding RNA from Cinara cedri, 204 nucleotides. Lineage: Eukaryota; Metazoa; Arthropoda; Insecta; Hemiptera; Aphididae. The record is from the annotation of a GenBank genome assembly.
AGUAUAUUUAACGAAACAGCCAGCUAAAAUUGGCCGGAACACGUUUGAUGAAUCCGAUAGCAUUAAGGGCCUUACAACAGAUACUCUUUAUAUGAAAAUUAUGACUUAAUGUGGGACUGAACAUUAUAAUAAUAAUACUGUUAUUUUUUUUCAGUAGAUGUGAUUAAAUUAAUUUCUUGAAAAAGUUCCGGAAACGUUCACUAA